RNAcentral lists this unclassified non-coding RNA (316 nucleotides) under Hevea brasiliensis (rubber tree). Lineage: Eukaryota; Viridiplantae; Streptophyta; Magnoliopsida; Malpighiales; Euphorbiaceae. The record is from RNAcentral.
CCCAAAUCAUCCUGAAAGAUUUCUGCAAGGCUCUUCUGUUUACUACCAAGUCCUAAACCUAGUAAACCAAUCAGACCAUCACCACCCCACUCUGUGGAGCCACCCACCUUCUCAGUCUCAACCUCAGUUUCAUGUUUCCUUGAAUCAAAUCCUGGUGGCAUAGAGAACAAAGAUCUUCCACUCCCAUUAUCAGCACUAUUCACUUUCCUCCUAUCCCCAAUCCCACCUAAAACCGAACUCCCUCCACCCUUCAAUCUUUGUGUGAACCUCCAAUCCUCCCUGGAAAUCAAAGGAGGUGGAAGCCUAGGGUUCAAAU